RNAcentral lists this long non-coding RNA (1112 nucleotides) under Marmota monax (woodchuck). The record is from RNAcentral. Lineage: Eukaryota; Metazoa; Chordata; Mammalia; Rodentia; Sciuridae.
GGCAACAGGCUGGAGGGAGGGGGACGCGUCCCGGAGGAUCAGCGUUUUACGGCCUUUGAGCCAGGCCCCUGCCGACCCCACCACCCGUCACCUGCCCUGACUGUCCCCUGCCACCUCCCCUUGCUCCAGGUGGCCCGGCGCUGCUGGUCGGGGAACCCAAAGGCCUAUGAGAUCAUCUGCCAGACGGUGCGGGAGAACGAUGGCUUGGAGGUGACGCUGCCCCAUCCGGUGGCAGAUGAGGGCACCCUGCAGCAGGCCCUGCGGCCCUGAGAGGGCGACACCCCAGCACCCCUUCCUCGGCCUGUCCCCACCCUCCCAGCCCCAGCGCCGGGUCUCCCCCUGCAUAUGUCCCCUCUGGGCCACAGGCUUGUGUCACCCUCUAGUGUCCUGGACUGGGGGACCAUGACCACUUCAUCACACAGACGAACCCGCCCAGGCCCAGAGAGGUGAAGCCAUUUGGCCAUGACCACACAGCUUGGCUGGGAGCCCAGGGAGGACAGGGUUAUGGAAUGGACACCAGCGUGGGGCGUCCCCAACCGUGAACCCUGGCCAAACUGGUCACCAACCAGCUCCUUCGAACGCCCCUGGAGGUUUCUCUGGCUGAUUGUGUCAUCUGAUCUGCCACCACCCAUUUUUCUCCUUCUGUCUGUCUGUCCGGCCCUCAGUGCCCCAGGCUUGGGGACACACAGGUGGAGCCUCGGGAGAAGGACAGUAAAUAAAGGAAAAGACAGAGAACUGUGUGCACCUGACAUCGCAGGCUGGGGGGACCGAGCAGCAGAGUGACCCUCAAGGGAAAUGGACAGGUGUCUGGGGUGUAAAGGACAGGGAGGGUCCUCCCCGGGGUUCACCUGGCCUGAGCCUCCAACAGGGGCCCUCGAGAGCUCUGCCGGGGACCUAUGUGUCUCCCAGGCAGGGUGUGGGUCCCUGGGGUGAACUCCGCACCCCUUCCAUUUCCAGGUGUGUUUGCACCAGGGAUGGAACCCGGGGUGCUUAACCCCUGAGCCCCGUCCCCAGCCUAUUUUCUAUUCUAUUUAGAGACAGGGUCUUAUUGAGUUGCUUAGGGCCUCACUAAGUUGCCGAGGCUGGCCUCCAACUUGUGAUCCUCCUGCCUC